This 154-nucleotide ribosomal RNA is filed under the name uncultured anaerobic bacterium. RNAcentral describes it as "partial 16S ribosomal RNA". It matches the Rfam family "Bacterial small subunit ribosomal RNA", at positions 355 to 526 of the family's 1533-position model. The record is from RNAcentral.
UGGGGAAUAUUGCACAAUGGGGGAAACUCUGAUGCAGCAACGCCGCGUGAGCGAUGAAGGCCUUCGGGUUGUAAAGCUCUGUCUUCCCUGACGAUAAUGACGGUAAGGGAGGACGAAGCCACGGCUAACUGCGUGCCAGCAGCCGCGGUAAUAA